Molecule: ribosomal RNA, 124 nt
Filed under: uncultured bacterium
Lineage: Bacteria
Description: partial 16S ribosomal RNA
Source: RNAcentral
CCGGGGUUUCUUUACCUGCUACAGUCAUUAUCUUCACAGGCGAAAGAGCUUUACGACCCUAAGGCCUUCAUCACUCACGCGGCAUGGCUAGAUCAGGCUUGCGCCCAUUGUCUAAGAUUCCCCA